Long non-coding RNA from Xenia sp. Carnegie-2017, 1219 nucleotides. RefSeq lists it as uncharacterized. Lineage: Eukaryota; Metazoa; Cnidaria; Anthozoa; Malacalcyonacea; Xeniidae. The transcript is spliced from 2 exons. The record is from RefSeq and is a predicted model, not a curated record.
CGGUAACCGCGAUGAAAAUCCUGACGAAUGUGUUUGUUUUCCAUCAAGUGUGUUUUGAGUGUUUCUUUGUGAAAACGGAUGUGGGUUAGUUUUAACUGCAAAUUUAUGAGUAAGCGAAAAAUUAUCAGCAAGACUGGCCGCUCACUAAGAGUCUUAGGAUUUUGCUCGUUAAAGGACAUGGGACAUAUAUUUUUUCAUGUCGCAAUAUCAUUCAUUGCAGUUUAGUAUUCCGUUAAACAUUAUUUUUCCGGUUUGAAAACAUAUAUUUAAAGCGCAAUUUAGAAUGAAAGUUUGCUUAUUUCAAGGGCUGUUCCGCCAUCUUGAAAUGAGCAGCCAAAAUAAUUAUAUUUCAUAUGUGACGUCACAACAGGGAGACUUUGUCGCUGAUGAAUAUUGUUUAUAUUGCAAAUUGACAAGCAUUCUCAUUUAUUACGCAAAGUUUGGGACUUUACACUGCUGUUACAGCACUCAAAAUCGAAAAUAUUAACAAAGAUGCUAUGGUUCAGUCAUAUAUGUUUGAGUCAAUGCCAGAUGAAUUUGUAGAGAGUGAGAAUUCUGACUCAGAAAGUUCUUCGUCGAGCGAAGUAGAUGAUCAGAUAGACGAGGAGUUUGAAGCUAUGUAUAGUUGGCGUAAAACUUCACUCAGUUGCUGUAAAUGCGGCCAUUGUGAGUUUAUGGCAAAAACGAUUGAAUGCUUUUGCUUUCAUGAAAAAGCGGUUGAAUAUGACGAAUAUGAUGGCAAACUUAAAUCGGCACAGGAUGCAGGCUUGUCUUGCGUGACUGAACUUGCUUUCUUCAAUCAAAACAUAUCGGCAAACGUCCUUGAAAUAGAUACUUGGCAGUAUAUUGAAGAAAACAGUCCGUUAGGUGAUGACGAACUUGCAGUCAUACAAAAAAUAUACCGUCAUGUUGCGUAUCGAAGAUGUUCGAGAUGGAUUUUCCAUAUUCUUGGCAAGAAAUGUCGAAGGCCAUUUCCAUCUUGCAUGUACAAAUGCAUACGAGAGAAGUAUUGGUCAUCUGAUGCACUUUACACUCAUUUCAAAUAUGCCAAGUAAAUUGAAAUUGGAUUUGAGGUAGGACAGUCGCUUAUUGGUUUGGCCACAGCUUUUUCUCCUUUGUGAGCUUUAGGGUAUGCAACUGACCAUCUUUUAUCACCUUUUUGUGUUGUUGCUUGGGGUCUAUUAGCAUUUUCAUAAUAAUGUAAAUUUGCACAAAAUAA